GACGAACGCUGGCGGCGUGCUUAACACAUGCAAGUCGAACGGAAAGGCCCUGCUUUUGUGGGGUGCUCGAGUGGCGAACGGGUGAGUAACACGUGAGUAACCUGCCCUUGACUUUGGGAUAACUUCAGGAAACUGGGGCUAAUACCGGAUAGGAGCUCCUGCUGCAUGGUGGGGGUUGGAAAGCUUCGGCGGUUGGGGAUGGACUCGCGGCUUAUCAGCUUGUUGGUGGGGUAGUGGCUUACCAAGGCUUUGACGGGUAGCCGGCCUGAGAGGGUGACCGGCCACAUUGGGACUGAGAUACGGCCCAGACUCCUACGGGAGGCAGCAGUGGGGAAUAUUGCACAAUGGGCGGAAGCCUGAUGCAGCAACGCCGCGUGCGGGAUGACGGCCUUCGGGUUGUAAACCGCUUUCGCCUGUGACGAAGCGUGAGUGACGGUAAUGGGUAAAGAAGCACCGACUAACUACGUG
Molecule: ribosomal RNA, 468 nt
Filed under: uncultured bacterium
Lineage: Bacteria
Description: partial 16S ribosomal RNA
Rfam family: Bacterial small subunit ribosomal RNA
Source: RNAcentral